GUGGGGAAUCUUCCGCAAUGGACGAAAGUCUGACGGAGCAACGCCGCGUGAGUGAUGAAGGUCUUCGGAUUGUAAAGCUCUGUUAAUCGGGACGAAAGAGCCUAGUGUGAAUAAUGCUAGGAAGUGACGGUACCAGAAUAGAAAGCCACGGCUAACUACGUGCCAGCAGCCGCGGUAAUACGUAGGUGGCAAGCGUUGUCCGGAAUUAUUGGGCGUAAAGCGCGCGCAGGCGGAUCUGCCAGUCUGUCUUAAAAGUUCGGGGCUUAACCCCGUGAUGGGAUGGAAACUACAGAUCUAGAGUAUCGGAGAGGAAAGUGGAAUUCCUAGUGUAGCGGUGAAAUGCGUAGAUAUUAGGAAGAACACCAGUGGCGAAGGCGACUUUCUGGACGAAAACUGACGCUGAGGCGCGAAAGCCAGGGGAGCGAACGGGAUUAGAAACCCUGGUAGUCC
Molecule: ribosomal RNA, 450 nt
Filed under: uncultured bacterium
Lineage: Bacteria
Description: partial 16S ribosomal RNA
Rfam family: Bacterial small subunit ribosomal RNA
Source: RNAcentral